GGCUGGCCUGACGCGCUCGCUGCUGAGGUGCCGGCCGGGCUGGCGCUUCCGGAGUGGCUCGAGAGCGCGUGGUCAGUCACUGGCGGGAGCGAGGCCCGUGGAGCUCCCGCGUGGGGCGCGGGGAGCCGGCCGCGGCCACUUCACGGCUGGCGCGGGCCUGGGGCUUCGUACCCCCGCCUGCGGCGCCCUCCGUGGUGGGGCGGCCCGGGGCGUUGGGUCGGGGGGUGAGCUUGCGGGGCGGCGCGGCCGUUGUCGGCCCCCGCCCUCGGCAGGAAGGCCGUCUGGGAUCAGGCCCGCGUCAAGAUUCGUUUAUUUUAAAGAGUGACGCCCAGAGAGGUCUUCGUCCGCCGGGUCACUCCGCAGGUGGCCGCAGCGGCCGGAGCUGAGCCGAUCCGGGGCCAGGAGCUUCUUCGGGGUCUCCCCGGGGUGGGGGGGUGGGCAGGGGUCCGAGGACUCGGGCCGUGGCAGAGCACUGGAUCGGCAGAGGAGUGCCCAUGUGGGAUGCCGGCGGGUUAACCCACGGCACUACGCCCCCCCCCCUUUUUUUUUGCUAACAGAAUUCACAGGGCAGACCCUUCAGGAUGUUGUAGAACCCAUCGCAGCCAUCCCCCUGUGGUGGCUGAGCGGGGCGGAGCCCAGGGCUCGUCCCAGCCCGGCGUCGCCUUGCGCGCGCUGCGUGAACGACGCUGAGUGCCCGCUGUUGGAAGCUGCACGGGGCGCCGCAGAGCCACGGCUGUGCCCUCGCCUCGCGGUCCUCCACCUGGUCCUCCACCUCAGUGCCUGUCAGCAGCCCUCGUCGCACCUCCGCCCCACGCCCGGCCUCCCUCCUGCUUCUCUACGUCCUCAUCCUCGCCCCGUCUGGUAGCCAUCCCGCUUUCUUCCUGUAUUUCAGCCACUAGGAUCCCUAGAACUGCCCUUAGUGGGCAGUAGGCACUCACCUGUCCACCACACGGGUCAACCCUUCUCUUCAUUGAGACAAACGUCGCAUUCCAAGUUCCUUUCUAACGAGUGACUUGUGGAUCUUUGUUUGAUUCUGUGUGAGGCUCAAUCAUCCCAGCUGUUUUUAGUGCUUGCUUACAAAUUGGAUGAUGAUUUUCAACUUAAAUAGAUGUAAUCACUAGUCAGCUUGCUUUAUGGUCUCUAGGUUGUUACCCAUGUAAGAGACAGCUAACAGUAAGGGUGUUUUUUUUUUAAGGUUUAUUUAUUUGAAAGGCAGAGCUACACACAGAGAGAGAGAGGUCUUCCAUCUGCUGGUUCACUCCCCAAAUGGCUGCAACGGCUGGAGUUGAGCCGAUCUGAAGCCAGGAGCUUCUUCCAGGUCUCCCACGCAGGUGCAAGGGCCCAGGCACUUGGGCCGUCCUCUACUGCUCUUCCAGGCCAUGGCAGAGAGCUGGAUCGGAAGUGGCACAGCCAGGACUCUAACCGGCACCCAUUUGGAUGCCAGCACUACAGGCGGUGGCUUUACACCACAGCGAUGGCCUUGUACAGUAAGAUUUUUAUUUUCAGCAUUGAAAUGUGGCUUGGUUAAAAUCACAACUUUUAUUAGAGUAAUACAAUAUUUAUCUUGUAAGAGUAAGCAAAAAAACCACAUUUAGUUAUUUGCUCCUAGUAGCAUGAAGUAAUUGAUGCCUUUUCUAAUGCAAAUGAAAGAUCUGUGCAUAUAAUAGCGCUGUAGCUGGUGUGGAUGGAUUUCCCUGCCUGCUGAAUGUCAGCUGGCGGCGACUGGGGGAGGAGGCCGUUUGCAGGCCAGCAGCUACCUCCAUGGAACAAGUUCUUUGUUCCUCGUCUCAUGAAACAGGUCCUCCAAGGGUAUUAGCCAGUUUUUUCCCCUGAAAUUGCUUUUCAAGAGUCUCCUUUAUUUUGCUCGACUCUUGAGAGCCAGAGGAUUUUUCUGGUUGCUAAGCUGAGUGGUUUUCAUACUUCCAUUCAGAUAAAUGGCGAGGCGUGUGGCUUUACCCACUUUGCCCAGUUCCACCUGCCUGCAUGGGGAUGUGAUCUUGCUAGAAUUCCAUGACAGGAGCCGCCAGUUUCAAGUUCAAGUCCUGUGUGUCUCAGAUAAUCCAGGUGAGCUCAGCGUGACCUAGUAAAGAAUGCAGCGUAAGAUCCGUGAAUUCUGGCAGCCGAGUUCUGGCCUUUGUUUUGGGAAGGCUCGAACCUGGGUUGGGGUCAGUCUUUACUGGGAUUUGUCAGGAAACCGCCUCGGCAGGGAGGCCACAGGACCACGCUCUGCCUCUGAUGGUGAGGGGUUCAGACAGGCUGGCGCGGGGCUUCAGAGCCCGUGCCCGGGUUUCAUUCUUGGCCGAGCCGCCUACCAGCCAGGCAGCCGUGGACAAGAUGGGAAAUCUUGGGCGCUCAGGCUCCUCGUCUGUGAAGGGAGGUGACAACCACACCCGUGGUUGUGGGGAUGAAAUGGGGACACGCAAAGCACGCAGGGAGGACUCAGUGCACGCACUGUUAAUUACGCCCUGGCCCUGGGACUGUUCCCUCCUAAGCACUUCAGAAGGUUUUCAUUAUUUUUUUUAAAAGAUUUUACUUAUUUAUUUGAGAGGUAGAGUUAUAGACAGUGAGAGAAAGAGACAGAGAGGUCUUCCUUAUGCUUCCUUAUGAACCAUCACUCCCCAGAUGGCCGCAACGGCCAGAGCUGUGCCGAUCCAAAGCCAGGAGCCAGGAGCUUCUUCCCAGUCUCCCACGUGGGUGCAGGGGCCCAAGCACUUCCACUGCUAUCCCAGGCCACAGCAGAGAGCUGGAUGGGAAGAGGAGCAGCUCUGACUUGAACCAGCGCCCAUAUGGGAUGCCGGCGCCGCAGGCAGAGGAUUAACCUACUGCGCCACAGCGCCGGCCCCUCAUUAUAUUUUAAUGCUAAUGCUUGUGUACAUCUUGUUUUAAAGAAUUUUGUUUAUUUGGUAUAAAGUUUUAUCUGUGAAAUGCCAACUCUGUUAUAUCCACUUGUCAGCUAAAAUAGAAUAUUUCAAAAGCAAUAGUCACACAUGAAAUUUAUUGAAAAUGGAAGGCAAGGCAACUGAUCGGAACCAACACUCCUUGUCAGAGUGUGUCCCCCAACAGCGAGUUACACAGUUUUUUAUAGUAUUCUGUCCACUAGGGCUCACAAUUUCACAAACCCUUGGUAUGCAGUGAACAAUGAAAAAAACCAGAAUAUGGUUGUAAGAUGACAGUUAAUGACAAGCCCAGGAACAAUAGCAGAUCCGAGAUAUCCUGUAAGAUGCCAGCGCAGGGCGCGUUUCUGUCAACUUAGCUCCUGGGACUUUGACCCCCAUGUAGUUUCACAAGAUCCGCCCUUAGCUGGUAGCGAGCAAAGUGAGUAUGUACAGAAGCCAGAGUCUGCAGUUGGCUUUUUUUUUUUUUUUUUGACAGGCAGAGUUAGAGACAGAAAGGUCUUCCUUCCAUUGGUUCACUCCCCAAAUGGCCGCCACGGCCGGUGCUGCGCCGAUCCAAAGGCAGGAGCCAGGUGCUUCCUCCUGGUCUCCCAUGCGAGUGCAGGGCCCAAGCACUUGGGCCAUCCUCCACUGCACUCCCGGGCCACAGCAGGGAACUGGAUGCAGUUGCCUUUUAGCCACACUCCAUUUUGAUUUUGACUGCAAGUCUUUUUCCCUUUUUUUACUAAUAAAAAACUGACCUGCAUCACUACCGUCACGACACUGAGUUCCUGUAAUUCUGGCCGAAAGCACAGAGCUGUGAUGUUUGAGCCAGAGCUUUACUGCGAGUUAGAUUUAUGAUUUCCAGUAGGCUUUUAGAAGUGCUGCCCAGGGACCCGUGCCCCUGCCCCGAUUCUAGACUGGGUCCUUUUCAAUCUGCUUGCGUCGGCACCUUAACAAAGAAUGAUUCUGUUGAGAGUUUGGGCAGAGCUUCGCUUGUUUUUCUCCUGGAGAUUCCGAUCUAUUGUGCCGUCAGAAACUCCCACAGCUGGUGUUUUUCAUGUUUUAGGCUUCAGAGCAAAAGGAUGAAAACUUAAGUCUAAAUUUUCUAGCACUACUAUUUGUUUUCUCUGGAGGUUUUAGGUUCCAUUGGCACUGAAGUAGUAACAGUAUGUGUAGAAAAUCUGUUAAACAUACUGGAGUUACACAAUAUAGCAUUUUUCUGGGAACAAGAGCUGCGGAAAUAACAAAACCAUUAAGACAUCGUCGGAGCCGAUGAUGGCAAAGGCAGAAUCGUGCUGAGUUCAAGGAGGAAGCGAUCUCUGCAGGCAGAGGAAGGAAGGAGAGUCAGGUUCUGGAGCCAACGUGACCUCUGAUGGAAGGGGCAUAGUGUGGAGGGAGGUGGAGCCUACGUGACCUCUGAUGGAAGGGGCGUAGUGUGGAGGGAGGUGGAGCGGAUGUGACCUCUGAUGGAAGGGGUGUAGUGUGGAGGGAGGUGGAGCCUACGUGACCUCUGAUGGAAGGGGCAUAGUGUGGAGGGAGGUGGAGCCUACGUGACCUCUGAUGGAAGGGGUGUAGUGUGGAGGGAGGUGGAGCCUACGUGACCUCUGAUGGAAGGGGCGUAGUGUGAAGGGAGGUGGAGCCUACAUGACCUCUGAUGGAAGGGGCGUAGUGUGGAGGGAGGUGGAGCCUACGUGACCUCUGAUGGAAGGGGCGUAGUGUGGAGGGAGGUGGAGCCUACGUGACCUCUGAUGGAAGGGGCAUAGUGUGGAGGGAGGUGGAGCCUACGUGACCUCUGAUGGAAGGGGUGUAGUGUGGAGGGAGGUGGAGCCUACGUGACCUCUGAUGGAAGGGGCGUAGUGUGGAGGGAGGUGGAGCCUAUGUGACCUCUGAUGGAAGGGGCGUAGUGUGGAGGGAGGUGGAGCCUACAUGACCUCUGAUGGAAGGGGCAUAGUGUGGAGGGAGGUGGAGCCUACAUGACCUCUGAUGGAAGGGGUGUAGUGUGGAGGGAGGUGGAGCCUAUGUGACCUCUGAUGGAAGGGGCAUAGUGUGGAGGGAGGUGGAGCCUACAUGACCUCUGAUGGAAGGGGCGUGGUGCAGAGGUGUGAGGGAGGUGGAGCUGAUGGAAGGGGUGUUGAUGGAAGGAAGCAUUUUGGGAAGUGAACCAGUGGAUGAAAGAUCUCUCUCUCUGCCUUUCAAAUAAAUAAAAUUAUAAAAAAGAUCCGACUUGUUCUCCUUCCAUUCCCUUUAAAAAAUAUUUAUUUAUUUGAGAGGCCGAGUUAAAGAGAGGAGGAGAAGCAGAGGUCUUCCAUCGGUGUUUACUCCCCAAAUGGCCGCAACAGCCGGAGCUGGGCUGAUCAGGAGCCAGGAGCUUCUUCCAGGUCUCCUGUGUGGGUGCAGGGGCUCAAGCAUGUGGACCAUCCUCCACUGCUUUCCCAGGCCAUUAGAGAGCUGGAUCGGAAGAGGAGCAGCCAGGACACAAACUGGCACCCACAAGGCAUGCUGGCACUGCAGGUGGAGUCUUACCCUGCUUUGCCGCAGCGCCAGCCGCCUUUCCGUUCUAUGUCAGAAGCAUCUGGGACAGAACCUUCCCUCGGGCCUCGCUGCCUGCAGCUACCAGUGACUGCUGUUUCCCAGGGCCACGUGAUGGGUGCUUUUCUGGAUUCUUGGGUAUGAUGAGUGGCCUUCCUUUAAGGCCUUUGAUGAGAGGGGUAAUGUAACCAGGACACCCUGUGUCCUCAGCUCAGCUUUCUCCAUGUUGCCCUGUGUGCUGCCUCACCCCGGACUCCUCAUUUGCUUGCCGUCUUUCCUGUUGUCCAGCCCUUCCUUCACCUGUGCCUAGCAGACUAUCAGAACUUUCCAGCUGCUAUGUAGCACACCCAUGGCCUGGCAGCUGCCUGGAGGGGCCGAGUCAGCAAGAGAUUCCGAGAUGUGUGCGUGUGUGUGUGCGUGCAUGUGUGUGUGCGUGCAUGUGUGUGUGCGUGCAUGUGUGUGUGCACGUGCGUGUGUGUGUGCGUGUGUGUGUGCGUGCGUAUGUGUGCGUGCUUGUCUGCGUGUAUGUGUGUGUGUGCGUGCAUGCGUGUGUGCGCGUGCGUGUGUGUGUGUUCUUUAAGAUUGAUUUAUUUUAAAGGCAGAGUUAGAAAGAUCUUGAAUCUGCCGAUUUACUCCCCAGAUGGCUGCGAUGACCAGGGCUGGGCCAGACUGAACCCAAGAGCCAGGAGUUUCCUUCAGGUUCCCCCACAAGGGUGUCAGGGGCCCAAGCGUUUGUACCGUCCCCCGUUGCCUUCCCAGGAAGCUGGAUCAGGAGUGGAGCAGCUGGGACCCAAACCAGUGCUAGGAUGGGAUGCCAGCCAUUGUGGUGGUUUCACCCAAUUCACCACAGUGCCAGCCCUGUACACUGUGUAGAACAAGGCCUGUACCCACAGACUUUGUCACGCAUCCAGAAAGAGAAAGAAAAGAAAGAACUGUGUAAGUUUCCUGUAUAAGGAAAUAGUAGACAAAAUACCACAGAGGGGGCCGGUGCUCUGGCAUAGGGGGUAAAGCCCUAGCCUGCAUUGUUGGCAUCCCAUAUGGGCGCUGGUUCAAGUCCCAGCUGCUCCACUUCUGAUCCAGCUCUCUGCUGUGGCCUGGGAAAGCAGCAGAGGACGCCCAAGUCCUUGGGCCCCUGCACCCACAUGGGAGACCUGGAAGAAGCUCCUGGCUCUUGGCUUCAGAUCGGCUCAGCUCUGGCCAUUGUGACCAUCUGGGGAGUGAACCAGCGGAUGGAAGACUGACUCCCUCCCUCCCUCCCUCCCUCCCUCUCUGUCUCCCUCUCUCUCUCUCUCUCUCUCUCUCUCUCCCUCCAGCUCUGCCUUUCAAAUAAAUACAUCUUAAAAAAAAAUACCACAGAGCCGUGCUCAUUUAGGUGCCAAAUAAAAUUCCAGCAGGUGGCUGAGAGACAGGCUGGGCCAUCUCGGGCUGGGGCUUGUUAGUCUGUUUAGGUGGCCAGAGACCCACAGGCUGGGCAGCCUGACCACAGGGGUUUGGUGCCUCACAGCUCUGGAGGCUGCAACUCCGAGAUCACGGUGCCAGCUGGCCGCUCUCUCCUGAGACUCCCUCCUCAGUUUCUCCAUGGCUGGUGCCCUGCAUCUUCACACGCUCGUCUCUACCGUGUCUGUGUCCUGAUCUCUUCUUAGGAGACCGCCAGUCAUACUGGAUUCCAGCUCCUCACUGUGACUUAGUCACCCCAAGGCUCCGUCUCCAAGUGCAGUUUUCCCAGGUACUGGAGAUUUCAGCAUGGGCACUUUGGGAGAACACAGCUCCGCCUGUAACAGGUGAUGUGCGGGGCGUCUGAAGUGCUCUGUCUCUGUGGGUUCAAAGAAUGUGGUGUUUUUUUUUGUUUGUUUAGUUUUUUUUUUUUUUUUUUUUUUUUUUUUUUGACAGGCAGAGUGGACAGUGAGAGAGAGAGACAGAGAGAAAGGUCUUCCUUUUGCCGUUGGUUCACCCUCCAAUGGCCGCCGCAGCCAGUGCGCUGCAGCCAGCGUACUGUGCUGAUCCGAAGGCAGGAGCCAGGUGCUUCCUCCUGGUCUCCCAUGGGGUGUAGGGCCCAAGUACUUGGGCCAUCUUCCACUGCACUCCCUGGCCACAGCAGAGGGCUGGCCUGGAAGAGGGGCAACCGGGACAGAAUCCGGCGCCCCGACCGGGACUAGAACCCGGUGUGCCAGCUCCGUAAGAUUGAGGAUUAGCCUAUUGAGUCGCGGCGCCGGACAGAAUGUAUGUUUUGUACUUUGACAUUUCUGAAAUUAUUUCUGACCUUUGAUGUAUAGUUUUAAAAAGCAUAGUUCCCUGAUUGUUCCGCUAAUGGCCGACAGGGAGGACAGGACCAGCUUUCGCUAGGAAAGAAGUGUGGUGUUAGAUGAGCUGGCCUGUGUGCCCACUGGAGCACAGGGCGAGGGCUUUUCUUCUCUAGACACCUGUCCAGGGGCUGGCGCUGUGGCACAGCAGGGUAAGCCUCCACCUGCGGCACCGGCAUCUCGUAUGAGUGCUGGUUUGAGUCCCGGCUACUCCACUUCUGAUCCAGCUCUCUGCUAUGGCCUGGGAAAGCCGUAGAAGAUGGUCCAAGUGCUUCGGCCCCUACACACAUGUGGGAGACCCGGAAGAAGCUCCUGGCUCCGGAUUGGCCCAGUUCCGGCUGUUGGGGUAUGAAUAGCGGGUGGAAGACCUCUCUCUGUUUCACCUCUGUGUCUUUAACUCUGCCUCUCAAAUAACUAAAAUCAAUUUUUUAAAAAUUUGCUUGUCUGGAAUGAAUCUGUCUUCGGUUUGCUUCCCUGUCCCCAACCAUCACAUUCCCCUUCUUCUUCAUCCCAGUCGUCUGCCUUCCUCUGCCCAGAGCCCCAGCGAGUUGGUUCCGUCCAGUGAAGUUACAGAGCACAGGAGCCUGGACCUGGCUCUCUGAGCACGCAGGACACGUUUUCCCCCUCUUGUGGGGGCAUGGCCUGAACCGGGUCCCCUGCCCCCAAGUCCCCAAGUGGCUGCAUUUGCAAUAAGGAAGGAACUGAAGUAGAUGGGGCCAGGAGUGUGGGCUCUGGUCCAGCAGGGUUAGGUCCAGUGUCUUUACAGGAAGGGACUCCACAGAGAACUCCCCCCUAUACCCUUGCGGGGACAGUGAGAAGGUGGCCAUCUGUAAGCCAGGAAGCCCCUACUAGGAAGUGACUUUCCAGUCUCCAUAACUGAGAAAAUAGUGUUCUGCUGUUUAAGCCACUCCAUCGGACCUGCUGUCACAGCAGUCCAUGCUGACUCCUACUCGGGUGUGAAUUCCUCGGAGAGCGGUCAGUGCUCUCAGUUGUCUGGGCUGACUUCAGUGUAAGCUCCUCCCUGGACCAAAAACAAUCCACUAGGUUUGGGCUUGGGCCAGUCAAGCUGUGCCCCUGGCACUGGGACAGUAUCACUAGUAAGGACAGAUAGGUAAGCAGUCAUGGGGGCCAGCAUUGUGGUGCAGUGGGUUAUGCCACCGCCUGAAGCACCAGCAUCCCAUAUGGGCACCUGUCCAGUCCCAGCUGCCCACUUCUUAUCUGGCUCCCUGUUAAUGCACCAGAUGUGGUAAGGUUUCUUGCGAUGAGGUGGUCCUGGGUUUUCUGGAUGAAUCCUAAGUGAAAGGACAGGUGUCCUUACCAGAGGGAGGAGGAGAAGACAGAAUGGAAUUAUGGAGCCACCAGAUGCUGAAACGGCAUAAACGUGUUCUCCCCGAGAGCUUCGGGGACCGGAGCCCUAAGGGAUUUUGGACUUCCAGCCCCCAGAACUGUAAGAGAAAAUGUUUCUCUUAUGUUAAGCCUUAAGUUUUUGGUUAUUUAUUAGAGCAGCCUUAGAAAACUAAUCUAUGGCCGGCGCCAUGGCUCACUAGGCUAAUCCUCCGCCUAGCGGCGCCGGCACACCGGGUUCUAGUCCCGGUUGGGGCGCCGGAUUCUGUCCCGGUUGCCCCUCUUCCAGGCCAGCUCUCUGCUGUGGCCAGGGAGUGCAGUGGAGGAUGGCCCAGGUGCUUGGGCCCUGCACCCCAUGGGAGACCAGGAAAAGCACCUGGCUCCUGGCUCCUGCCAUCAGAUCAUCGCGGUGCGCCGGCCGCAGUGCACCGGCCGCGGCGGCCAUUGGAGGGUGAACCAACGGCAAAGGAAGACCUUUCUCUCUGUCUCUCUGUCUCUCUCUCUCACUGUCCACUCUGCCUGUCAAAAAAAAAAAAAAAAAAAAAAAGAAAACUAAUCUAGCCAGUGGAUUAAAGUCUACUUAAUCAGAGAAAGCGGUGUUUCAGGCUGCCAGGUGGCCCAAAGAGCAGACCUUGGUUUCUUGCAGUUCUGGACACUAUAGGCCCUAGAGGCUGGCAAGGCUGGAUCCUAGCGAGAGCUCUCUUCCUGACUUGUGGAUGGCUGUCUUCUAUCCUUGUCCUCUGAUGGCCUUCCCUUACUGCAUAGAGAGAGCACUUCUGGUGUCUCUUAAAAGGACACUAAUCCUAUUAGAGGUCUUACAUACUCUUUUAAUUUUACUUCCUUAUAAAUUCUAUCUCCAAAUAAGGUCACAUUGGGGAUUAGGGUUUCAACAUGAGUUUGGGGGUAGGGGUAUGUGCCACAGUUCAGUCCUUAACGCGUGAUCAAUCAAGACUUAAAUUGAUUUAAAACAAAAUUUAGUGUCAACAGAUUGUUAGUGAACACCAGGCAAGCAAUUCUAUUUGAAUAAAAAUAGUAUUUAAAUUAAAUGUGGAAAUGGAAUAUUGAAAACCAUGAACAUAAGUAGAAUAAGGUAAUCUGGUAUUACAUGAAUAUAUCUACAUAAUUACAUAUAUAAAAUACACAUGAGCUGUCUUAGGCAAUGAUGCUAUUGUGAUUACUCAAAUUGGAACCUUUGCCCAAAGAACGUGUUACAGUUCAGAUAUGUAUAAUAGCAAUGAGUCACUCAAGCUAUGACUCAGCCUAAUUAUGUCUAAUUAUUUUUAGCUUUGGUCUCAGAUUUUUUUUUUUUUUUGCCAGCAGAACUCACAUUUGGCAUAGAGAGCUGAAUGCAAGAUGUAUUUUUAUUAUUUAUAAUUGGAUAAACUUGAUGUGAAAAGUAUUUCGGAGCAUGUUAGGAGACAAGAAUAAAGGGCUGAGUUCCUGAGAAGAGUUCUGCAUUAUACAGACUAGCGAAGUCCCUGUUCGCACUUCACUUUGGAGUUUCUCUGGGAUCAUAAGCCAUCCCUGUAAGGGGUGUAGUAGAGAGGUGAACAGUUAAGGAUCUGAAGUGAUCCAAGCAUGAUACUUAAAGCUGUGAUCUGAGAAUUUAGAGAACUUGAAAGAAGUGAGGUACACCAUGUUGGAGUUGAUGGAGACAAAAGUCCUGAUAAUGAUUUUUCAAAGAAUGCAGCCUGGGUGAGACACAGUCGACACUGGAGACAUGGUCCGUGAAUAUCACACAAGAGAACCAAAGAGGUCCUUGGGAAUUGGUGCAUUACUUGUCGCCUUCAACUUUAUCAUGUGGCAUGUUACGUGAAUAACUUGGAAGAAUGCAUAUAAUCAUUGUAUGUGAACCCUGAUGUUGUGCCUCAGAAACAACAUGGAUUCUCACUGAAAAGCUUUUACAUUCUCUAAGCUCCAAGUAGGUUAUCAGUGGUGGAAACACUUCUGGAAUGGAAUGGCGGAACAGAGACCUCCAAAAAUCAGCUCUUCCAUAAAAGCAACAAGAGCAAAAUACAAGAAGCAAAAAGUGGCAGAAUUGAAGGGGGAAAUGGGCAACCCAACAGUAAUGGAGAUUGUCCCACGUUCAGUGGAUGGAACACCUAGUCAGAGGGUCAACAAAGAAAUACCACUCUAAGCCGGCCCUAGCGGACCUCUGUAGAACACUCCCGCCAAGAACAGCGGGACGCACUUUCUUUUCCAUGUGCGUGGGGCGCUCUCCAGGACAGACCACUUCAGGCCACAUGACAAGCCCUGUAAGUUAAUAGGAUUGAAAUCACACAGAGUGUAUUCUCCAACCACAGCAGAAUAAGAUGAAAAAUUAAUGAAGUUUGGGAAACUCACAUAUAGGGAAGCUGAAUAACAUUAUAAAGAAUGGCCAGAGGAAACCACAAGGGGAAUUAAGGUAUUUUGAGAUGAAUGAAACAAGACAUAUGCAAUAAAACAUGGGGAGCAGGAGCUGCAGUGCUUCGAGGGAGAUUUGUAUCCAGAAGAAGAAACAUCGCUGUAACCAAGUCAAAUCGGAACCAGUGUUCCACCCUUAAAAAAAAAAAAAAGCACGCUAAGCCCAAA
Molecule: non-coding RNA, 11620 nt
Organism: Oryctolagus cuniculus (rabbit)
Lineage: Eukaryota; Metazoa; Chordata; Mammalia; Lagomorpha; Leporidae
Source: RefSeq, a predicted model, not a curated record